Long non-coding RNA from Pomacea canaliculata, 1447 nucleotides. RefSeq lists it as uncharacterized. The record is from RefSeq and is a predicted model, not a curated record. The transcript has 3 exons. Lineage: Eukaryota; Metazoa; Mollusca; Gastropoda; Architaenioglossa; Ampullariidae.
UGUAAAUCUCAAACCUUAAUUUAUUGUCGGAGCUUUUGUUAGUCCUGAUAUAAUGAUUUGUUUACAAGUCGGCGCAGCUGAAAAAGACAGUUACAUUAAAACAGAAGCCUUGAGCAGAAGCCUUGGCCAGUCUCUGUACUCACACGGCGUGAAGACUGAAAAUAAAAAGCUCAGUGCUGUCUUACCAAACAUGAGAACCAAACAGCUUACUCUAGGGGACUUGACAAGUUUGCACAGGACAAAGUACUGAAUAAUGAAGUAUCCCUUGAUCGUUCUACAGCAGGACCUGUUUGUCUGACGGAAAAUGUUGUCCAGACUGAAUUUUGCCUCCCAGAUGAAUGAGCUUGUACCGGUCAUGACCUUUGCUGACAAGGUGAGCAGACGUUUGAUGACGUGUCUGUUGACAUCCAAUGUGCACAGUUUGCGAACAAUCUACAGGCUUCUCUGACCUUUCUUGUAUACAGAGCCGAUGUGUUCUGAGACAGACUCUCUGGAGUUUCAGUGGAAACAGAAAGUAGUUGAUGACCUAGACUUUCGUUGGUAUGCAUGUUCUCUGCACACUAUACUAGUGUGGCGAACUGAAAGAACGCACAGAUGAGCCAGAGAGAUACCGGUAACACUAUGGCAAUGGCAGACAUCAGACAGAAAGGAUACAGUGAGACCACAAGCUGUGGUACAGUGGGAAGGAAAGUACUUCAAGUACACAGACUAACGGCCGUCGUCAGCUGUCGACCAUUUACAGUUGGUGUGAUUAAUUAGAUGAUUAUGGUGUGAUUAAUUAGAGUCUUCAGAAGCUUCACAAUGUCACCAGUGUUCGUGCCUGUGCUCCAGCUUCACCCACCACCAAAGUGGAAGUAGUCUAAGAAUAUGCCUGAUGACCAGAUGAAAAGGUUUUUCAAGGUAGCUCUGAGGAAGAACAUACUAACAGUGUUCUGGCUGAAAUGCUAACAUCAACCCAGAGGCUUCAAACCAAUGACAGACAAUUUUGAUGAAUUUGGCUUUGAUGAAGCCAGCAGCAGGGAGCAAAGCUGCUACAAUUUUAAUAGAAUCACUGACACAUCUUAGCCAAUACCUAAGUGUUCUAUAUUGCAACCUUCACAACACUGACCACAGAAGUCAACGUCCUCCAAAGCAACCAGACUGGAACCAGCAAUCCUGAAGACACACCAAUCCUACAGAGAAAGAUUAGGAGAGCUGAAGAGAGAGAGAGAAGUCACGUGACGUUAAUAAUACCAUAGCUUAGCUGCUCAUUCAAGACAAAAAAAGAGGAAAAAUAACGAAAAAAGGAGGAAAAAAGAAUGCCCGGGACUAGUCAAAUCUCUGGUCAAAUUACUUCCAAAAGAAAAGGAACAGCACCAAAGCUAUACAAAAAUCAGCUGCUCACAAAAUCCUAGUGAUAAACAACUGUGUACUGCUGUUGUAGACAAACAAGAGAUUGCUACGUGGU